Molecule: ribosomal RNA, 253 nt
Filed under: uncultured bacterium
Lineage: Bacteria
Description: partial 16S ribosomal RNA
Rfam family: Bacterial small subunit ribosomal RNA
Source: RNAcentral
UACGUAGGGUGCAAGCGUUAUCCGGAAUUAUUGGGCGUAAAGAGCUCGUAGGCGGUUUGUCGCGUCUGCUGUGAAAACUGGAGGCUCAACCUCCAGCCUGCAGUGGGUGCGGGCAGACUAGAGUGCGGUAGGGGAGAUUGGAAUUCCUGGUGUAGCGGUGGAAUGCGCAGAUAUCAGGAAGAACACCUAUGGCGAAGGCAGCUCUCUGGGACGGUACUGACGCUGAGACGCGAAAGCGUGGGGAGCGAACAGG